RNAcentral lists this ribosomal RNA (1557 nucleotides) under Tolypocladium ophioglossoides. RNAcentral's name for it is "SSU rRNA". It matches the Rfam family "Bacterial small subunit ribosomal RNA". Lineage: Eukaryota; Fungi; Ascomycota; Sordariomycetes; Hypocreales; Ophiocordycipitaceae. The record is from RNAcentral.
AAAUAGCUGAGUUUGGUGAUGGCUCUGAUUGAAUGCUGUCCAAGUGCUUGACACAUGCUAAUCGUACGUUUUAAUUUCUAUACUAUUAUUAUAACGUAGCGCAAGCUACGUUAAAGUUAAGGUUACAAAUUAAAAAGUGGUGUACAGGUGAGUAUAAUGAUAUUCUUUGCCGACCUUAAAGUAUAGGUAAAUCCUACAUAAUAAUAAAGGGAAACAAAUUCCCGCUUUGAGAGGAUAAUAAAUAUCUUCGAGAUAGGUAGUAGUUAAGGUGAUGGCUUAACUAGCCUAAAACUCUCGUAGUCGAAUCUGAAAGGUUGAUCGACCACAUUGGGUCUGAAAAAAUCCCAAUGCAAGUUAGUACAGCAGUGAGGAAUCUUGGUCAAUGGCCUAACGGCUGAACUGGCAACUUGGAAAAGUGGCAAGUCCUACUUUGAUUAUAUCAUAGAAUAUAAUCUAUAGGAUUGUAUUAAAAUUGAAUAAAGCUUUGUUUAUAUAUUGAUAAUGACAGUAUAUAUAUCGUGUCUUGACUAAUUACGUGCCAGCAGUCGCGGUAAUACGUAAGAGACUAGUGUUAUUCAUCUUAAUUAGGUUUAAAGGGUACCUAGACGGUCAAUAUAGCUUCUAGAAUGUUAGUACUUGACUAGAGUUUUAUGUAAGAGGGUAGUACUUGAGGAGGAGAGAUGAAAUUCUAUGAUACCAAAGGGACUCGGUAAAGGCGAAGGCAACCCUCUAUGUAAAAACUGACGUUGAAGGACGAAGGCACAGAGAACAAACAGGAUUAGAUACCCAAGUAGUCUUUGCAGUAAAUGAUGAAUGCCAUAGGUCAGAUUAAGAUUUAAUAACUUAGUUCUUCAGUAAGGAACUAAAUAUUAAACAUUAUUUGGUCUAUAAAUGAAAGUGUAAGCAUUUCACCUCAAGAGUAAUGUGGCAACGCAGGAACUGAAAUCACUAGACCGUUUCUGACACCAGUAGUGAAGUAUGUUGUUUAAUUCGAUGAUCCACGAAAAACCUUACCACAAUUUGUAUAAUUAUUACAGGAGUUGCACGGCUGUUUUCAGUUAAUGUUGUGAAACUGUGGUUUCCAUGAAAUUAACGCAAUCCCUGGCUUUAUUUUUUAAAUAUUUACGAUAAAGCAUUUGAUCCUGGAAUUUGGAAAGAAAAAGGGGACAAAGACAAGUCAUCAUGGCCUUGAUAUUGUGGGCUAUAGACGUGCCACAUAUUCCUAAACAAAGAGAUGCAAAAAUGUGAAUUUAAGCUAAUCUCAAAAAAUAGGAUAUAAGUUUUAAGGAUUGUAGUCUGAAACUCGACUAUAUGAAUAAGUAAUUACUAGUAAUCGUGAAUCACCAUGUCACGGUGAAUUAACCUUGGAUUGGUACUAACCACUCGUCACAUGCUGAAAAGAGCAUGCGCAAUAAGUUUGCUUUCUUAAUGAUUAGUAAAAAAAACAUGCAGGUUUUGUACAUUCUAUUAUUAGGAAUCUUCGUAUGCGUGGCUCUAAUUAGUGUUAAGUCGAAAUACGGUUCGUGUAGUGGAAGUUGCACGGGAUUAAUUAAUAUU